ACAGAAUGGUGACAUGGACAAGGCAUAGACCGGGCAUCGACUGGACUGGCGACUAGCAAAACUGGGUGUGGGUUCAAUGGGCAAAGCUGACUGUGGUUGCUCUGGCCAGCCGUAUAAGGCAUUGAUUUAUGCUUAGCCCUGAGCAAGAAGGCUUUGUCGGUGAUGUCGGUGAUCGACUAUUAGUGAUCAAAUCAUUUUCAUUUUCCUGUUUUCAAAUCGCCAAAAUCUGCAGUUCAAUAAACCUCGACUUCCACUCGAUUGUGCUGUCAAUUAAACGUUCUUUUCAGCGAUGACUGUGCCUUGCAGCUUCGAGGACAAGUUCAUUAAUUCAUAUGAAUACGAAUACGAAAACGAAUAGGAAUACGAAUACAAAUAUGAUUGCAAAUGCGCUAACGAUGCUGUGACUAUUUUUUAUGGUUCUUAAUGUUUGCUAAUUUCGUGUCGAGUUUUAAUAGUGACAACACGCCUUCGAUAUGUAUAGAUGCUGACUACAAGAACAACAGUUAUUCACGCUUAAACAAAGAGAAGCCGCUGAGCACAAAAAUUAUUGUACCCAAAAUUUAAAUGAGCCAAGACCACAAUGCGAGAGAGAGAGAGAGAGAGAGAGAGAGAGAGAGAGAGAGACUGGAACUUCAACUAAGAGAGACAGAGAGAGGCUUUUGGCUCAAUCUGUUGACUUUUUGUGGUGUGGGCGUUGAGGCGAACAAAAUUGACGCUGAUUGCAAAUGCCAAGCAGAUGAGCCAGCUGGAAAUCAGCUGCAAAAAAGAAGACGCCAACAAAUACUAAUUGACAUUUGGUAAGCCGGAGUUUGAGGAAUUCGGGGAUUGGGAAUUUCACCUCCCAGCAACAAAGUUCCAGAUUGUCAGCACUCUGUGAAAUGGCAAGAAAAUGAUUAGCUAAUUCAUUUUUGUUGCCUCUAUUUUAUAGAACAACUUGUUUCUAGGGCGUGUGUGUUUGUACUUUUGCGUCUUUUCUUAAUAUAGUUUAUCACAUUUAGUCUGCAUUAAUUCGUUU
Drosophila sulfurigaster albostrigata is the source of this 1015-nucleotide long non-coding RNA. RefSeq lists it as uncharacterized. NCBI's taxonomy places the organism in Eukaryota, Metazoa, Arthropoda, Insecta, Diptera, Drosophilidae. The record is from RefSeq and is a predicted model, not a curated record. The transcript is spliced from 3 exons.